UAUCUCUGUAGAGUCUGCAUAUCAAUAAGCGGAGGAAAAGAAACUAACUAGGAUUCCCUCAGUAACGGCGAGUGAAGCGGGAAGAGCUCAAAUUUGAAAUCUUCAAGGUUCUACCUUGACGAAUUGUAGUUUAAAGAAGUGUUUUCUGUUGGAGUUUUGGUAAAAGUUCUUUGGAAUAGGACAUCAUAGAGGGUGAGAAUCCCGUAUUUGACCAUUAUUUCCAGCUUUGUGAUACACUUUCAAAGAGUCGGAUUGUUUGGGAAUGCAGUCCAAAAUGGGUGGUAAAUUUCAUCUAAAGCUAAAUACUGGCGGAGAGACCGAUAGCGAACAAGUACCGUGAGGGAAAGAUGAAAAGAACUUUGAAAAGAGAGUUAAACAGUACGUGAAAUUGUCAAAAGGGAAGCGUUUGACACCAGUGUUGUUUUCUCGAAAAUCAAUUAAAGAAGCUGUAUGUUAGUUGUAUUAGACUUUAUCAGCUAUUCUGCCUCUUAGUUCUUGAGCUUUUCUUUAAUGCACUUUUCAGUUAACAAGUCAACAUCAAUUUCUUUUGUUGUAAAAAGGCCAUUGAGGAAGGUGGCUUGCGAUUCGUAUAAGUGUUUAUAGCCUCUUGCCUCUGCAGUCGGAGAGAUUGAGGUCUGCAGCGUAGAUCCUUCGGGGUUAGAUACAGUUAGAUGCUAAGUUAUAGCCUUUUCAUAGACAACUUGUUGACUAUGAUCAGUCAUGUAGCUUACUUGCUUAUGCUAUUUUACCUACGCUUAGGAUGUUGACGAUCAGCUGAGCGCG
RNAcentral lists this ribosomal RNA (783 nucleotides) under uncultured Neocallimastigales. RNAcentral describes it as "partial large subunit ribosomal RNA". It matches the Rfam family "Eukaryotic large subunit ribosomal RNA", at positions 24 to 648 of the family's 3401-position model. The record is from RNAcentral. Lineage: Eukaryota; Fungi; Neocallimastigomycota; Neocallimastigomycetes; Neocallimastigales.